This 740-nucleotide ribosomal RNA is filed under the name Streptomyces youssoufiensis. Its description in RNAcentral is "bacterial SSU rRNA". It matches the Rfam family "Bacterial small subunit ribosomal RNA", at positions 76 to 831 of the family's 1533-position model. The record is from RNAcentral. Lineage: Bacteria; Bacillati; Actinomycetota; Actinomycetes; Kitasatosporales; Streptomycetaceae.
CGCUUCGGUGGUGGAUUAGUGGCGAACGGGUGAGUAACACGUGGGCAAUCUGCCCUGCACUCUGGGACAAGCCCUGGAAACGGGGUCUAAUACCGGAUAUGACUACUGAUCGCAUGGUUAGUGGUGGAAAGCUCCGGCGGUGCAGGAUGAGCCCGCGGCCUAUCAGCUUGUUGGUGGGGUGAUGGCCUACCAAGGCGACGACGGGUAGCCGGCCUGAGAGGGCGACCGGCCACACUGGGACUGAGACACGGCCCAGACUCCUACGGGAGGCAGCAGUGGGGAAUAUUGCACAAUGGGCGAAAGCCUGAUGCAGCGACGCCGCGUGAGGGAUGACGGCCUUCGGGUUGUAAACCUCUUUCAGCAGGGAAGAAGCGAGAGUGACGGUACCUGCAGAAGAAGCGCCGGCUAACUACGUGCCAGCAGCCGCGGUAAUACGUAGGGCGCGAGCGUUGUCCGGAAUUAUUGGGCGUAAAGAGCUCGUAGGCGGCUUGUCACGUCGGAUGUGAAAGCCCGGGGCUUAACCCCGGGUCUGCAUUCGAUACGGGCAGGCUAGAGUUCGGUAGGGGAGAUCGGAAUUCCUGGUGUAGCGGUGAAAUGCGCAGAUAUCAGGAGGAACACCGGUGGCGAAGGCGGAUCUCUGGGCCGAUACUGACGCUGAGGAGCGAAAGCGUGGGGAGCGAACAGGAUUAGAUACCCUGGUAGUCCACGCCGUAAACGUUGGGAACUAGGUGUGGGCGACA